This 497-nucleotide unclassified non-coding RNA is filed under the name uncultured Glomus. RNAcentral describes it as "SSU rRNA". It matches the Rfam family "Eukaryotic small subunit ribosomal RNA", at positions 569 to 1071 of the family's 1831-position model. Lineage: Eukaryota; Fungi; Glomeromycota; Glomeromycetes; Glomerales; Glomeraceae. The record is from RNAcentral.
AGCAGCCGCGGUAAUUCCAGCUCCAAUAGCGUAUAUUAAAGUUGUUGCAGUUAAAAAGCUCGUAGUUGAAUUUCGGGAUCAAAGAAUCGGUCAUGCCUUGGUAUGUACUGGUUUUAUUGGUUCUCACCUUCUAAAGAACCAUGAUGUCAUUCAUUUGAUGUUAUGGGGAAUUAGGACUGUUACCUUGAAAAAAUUAGAGUGUUUAAAGCAAGCUUACGCUUGAAUACAUUAGCAUGGAAUAAUGAAAUAGGACAUCAGAUUCUAUUUUGUUGGUUUCUAGGAUCGAUGUAAUGAUUAAUAGGGAUAGUUGGGGGCAUUAGUAUUCAAUUGUCAGAGGUGAAAUUCUUGGAUUUAUUGAAGACUAACUACUGCGAAAGCAUUUGCCAAGGAUGUUUUCAUUAAUCAAGAACGAAAGUUAGGGGAUCGAAGACGAUCAGAUACCGUCGUAGUCUUAACCAUAAACUAUGCCGACUAGGGAUCGGAUGAUGUCAAUUUUU